GAUGAACGCUGGCGGCGCGCCUAAUACAUGCAAGUCGAACGCUGAAGGAGGAGCUUGCUCUUCUGGAUGAGUUGCGAACGGGUGAGUAACGCGUAGGUAACCUGCCUGGUAGCGGGGGAUAACUCUUGGAAACGAUAGCUAAUACCGCAUGACAACAGUUAUUGCAUGAUAACUGUUUAAAAGGGGCAACUGCUCCACUACCAGAUGGACCUGCGUUGUAUUAGCUAGUUGGUGAGGUAACGGCUCACCAAGGCGACGAUACAUAGCCGACCUGAGAGGGGGGUCGGCCACACUGGGAAUGAGACAAGGCCCAGACUCCUAAGGGAGGGAGCAGGAGGGAAUCUUAGGCAAUGGACGGAAGGCUGACCGAGCAACGCCGCGGGAGGGAAGAAGGGUGUCGGAUCGUAAAGCUCUGUUGUAAGGGAAGAACGAGUGUGAGAGUGGAAAGUUCACACUGUGACGGUAUCUUACCAGAAAGGGACGGCUAACUACGUG
This 495-nucleotide ribosomal RNA is filed under the name uncultured bacterium. RNAcentral describes it as "partial 16S ribosomal RNA". It matches the Rfam family "Bacterial small subunit ribosomal RNA", at positions 28 to 507 of the family's 1533-position model. The record is from RNAcentral.